Molecule: long non-coding RNA, 614 nt
Organism: Mauremys mutica (yellowpond turtle)
Lineage: Eukaryota; Metazoa; Chordata; Testudines; Geoemydidae
Exons: 3
Source: RefSeq, a predicted model, not a curated record
AGCUACUGGUUCCAAAGCACAGUUUGAAAGGUCCAAGAAGAGUUGACAGAGGACAAAUAGUUUCUAUUUCCUUUAUCAGCUUGAGGCAGAGAUGCACAGCCAGAUCCCAUGAAGAGCCUUGUCACUGUGUGCCUUGGCCAGAAAAUGCAUAACUGAAAUCCCCCACCACCCAAACCAAGAGAAAUAUCACUAUCACCAUGAGAGCCAGAUCUAUACCUGUCCCAAGAGCAAGAACUCCACACUUGAUUUUGACAACUGCCUCAGACUAAAAAGCAGGUGUAAGGGCAUAUCUACACUUACCUCCGGAGCGAUCAAUCCAGCAGGGGUCGAUUUAUCACGUCUAGUGAAGACGUGAUAAAUCGACCGCCGAGAGCUCUCCCGUCAAUACGGAGCGAGAAGCGCAGGUGGAGUCAAGAGGGGGAGCGUCAGCAGUUGACCUACUGCAGUGAAGACACCGCGGUUAGUAGACCUAAGUAUGUGGACUUCAGCUAUGUUAUUCAUGUAGCUGAAGUUGCGUAACUUAGAUCGAUUCCCCGCCCCCCCAGUGGAGACCAGGCAUAAGACUUUACCAAGUCUCCUCAUGUUGCCUGCAACCCUCUGUGUUCUGACGCUUC